This 433-nucleotide ribosomal RNA is filed under the name uncultured bacterium. Its description in RNAcentral is "partial 16S ribosomal RNA". It matches the Rfam family "Bacterial small subunit ribosomal RNA", at positions 29 to 507 of the family's 1533-position model. The record is from RNAcentral.
AGCGAACGCUGGCGGCAGGCCUAACACAUGCAAGUCGAGCGAACUCUUCGGAGUUAGUGGCGGACGGGUGAGUAACACGUGGGAACGUGCCUUUAGGUUCGGAAUAACUCAGGGAAACUUGUGCUAAUACCGAAUGUGCCCUUCGGGGGAAAGAUUUAUCGCCUUUAGAGCGGCCCGCGUCUGAUUAGCUAGUUGGUGAGGUAAAGGCUCACCAAGGCGACGAUCAGUAGCUGGUCUGAGAGGAUGAUCAGCCACAUUGGGACUGAGACACGGCCCAAACUCCUACGGGAGGCAGCAGUGGGGAAUCUUGCGCAAUGGGCGAAAGCCUGACGCAGCCAUGCCGCGUGAAUGAUGAAGGUCUUAGGAUUGUAAAAUUCUUUCACCGGGGACGAUAAUGACGGUACCCGGAGAAGAAGCCCCGGCUAACUUCGUG